This 1103-nucleotide long non-coding RNA is filed under the name Homo sapiens (human). RNAcentral's name for it is "non-protein coding SNHG12:22". The record is from RNAcentral. Lineage: Eukaryota; Metazoa; Chordata; Mammalia; Primates; Hominidae.
CUUUCUCCCCGCCGCAUUCCCGGUGUCGACUUACUAGCUGCAAGCCUCUGCCUGCCUUCCUGCGCGCCGUUCCCCGCUAGUCGCUGCUGCUGGCGCGCACUCGCCGGGUUUUUCCUCCCACGGCCUCGAGAUGGUGGUGAAUGUGGCACGGAGGAGCCGGGCCUUCCAACCCGGUGGGCCCGAGCUCCGAAAGGCCCCCUCGGCAGUGAGAGGGGCGGGAGCCCGCGGGGGCCGCGCCCUUCUCUCGCUUCGGACUGCGCAACGCUGCGCUCUGGGCUGACAGGUGAGUGUUGCAGGCAGGCGGCCGGGUUUACGGAAGGGGUGGGGGUUUGGGAACCGGUCUCCUGGGGGAUGCGGGGAUGAAUCCCUGGGCCUGAAGUGUCUUAAUUCAGGGGGAGGCCGCAUGCUGGUGUCAGGAUGGCCUCCAGUUGAAUCUGUGACAUUUACCAGCUAGGUGAUUUUGGGACUGGUGACUACGCGCGAGACCUCUGGAGGUCGCCCUGGUAGACACGGUUUUCAGAAGGACGGGUUUUAGGCAUUCAGACCCUUGCGUGCAUCCCAGCUUGUUGCUUUCAGCCUCGCUAAGUGACUAAGCGACCUUCAGGAAGUAACUUAAUCGGUCUAAACCUCUUACCUGUAAUAGGCGGAUAAAACGGUCCCAUCAAGACUGAGAAAAAGCACACCAGCUAUUGGCACAGCGUGGGCAGUGGGGCCUACAGGAUGACUGACUUAGUCUACAGAGAUCCCGGCGUACUUAAGCAGGUAGUAAUGAUGGACAGAUGAAGACUCUUAAGAUGACAGAAGGUGAUUUUUCUGGUGAUCGAGGACUUCCGGGGUAAUGACAGUGAUGAAAUGCAGGGGACCUGGUUGCCCCCAAGUUUCCUGGCAGUGUGUGAUACUGAGGAGAUUCAUGUUACAUGUAAAGCUGUCCUCAUUUGUGACUAUGGACCUAUGGAGUUGGGACAAUCUCUAUGGGAAGCAGAAGGCAAGGACCCCGGUCAUUUUAGGUAGAAACAACAGCAUGCUAAUGCAAAAAAUUAUGCAGUGUGCUACUGAACUUCAGAGGUGAUCAAUAAAAGAAGAAUAAAAAGACUAAUAAAAGU